UAAACUUUGCCAAAAAGAUCCACUUAAAAAGAUAACUACAAUUGGUCCAAACACAACUAAAUUUUAGUAAACUCUGAACAGUCAACUUGUAAAUCAAGAAAAAACUUCUUCGAUUUUGCAACUUGUACUUUCCAGCAUAGACUUCUUUUCCCUUCUUCAAUUGUGCAACUUGCACUUUCCAGCAUAAACUUCUUUUCCCUCUACGUAGAUCACCAAGAACGAACUCAUUUUGGAACAAUUGGAAAUCCAUCUGUCUCUUUUCAAUUUUCAGAACUUUGUAGGCUAUUGAUGAUCGUAAUGGUUUUUGGAAUUUGAUUUUUGGAUCUUUUGUGUUUUGAUCUUAGGUUGAGCAAGAAAAUAAUGGAAUUAAUGUUUGAUCUUCAAUAGGAUAUUC
This 394-nucleotide long non-coding RNA is filed under the name Olea europaea (common olive). RNAcentral describes it as "long non-coding RNA (OEUR_LNC006832)". Lineage: Eukaryota; Viridiplantae; Streptophyta; Magnoliopsida; Lamiales; Oleaceae. The record is from RNAcentral.